GACGAACGCUGGCGGCGUGCUUAACACAUGCAAGUCGAACGGAAAGGCCCUGCUUUUGUGGGGUUCUCGAGUGGCGAACGGGUGAGUAACACGUGAGUAACCUGCCCUUGACUUUGUGAUAACUUCAGGAAACUGGGGCUAAUACCGGAUAGGAUCUCCUGCUGCAUGGUGGGGGUUGGAAAGUGUCGGCGGUUGGGGAUGGACUCGCGGCUUAUGAGCUUGUUGGUGUGGUAGUGGCUUACCAAGGCUUUGACGGGUAGCCGGCCUGAGAGGGUGGACGGCGACAUUGGGACUGCGAUACGGACCAGAAUCGUAUGGGAGGCAGCAGUGGGGAAUAUUGCACAAUGGGCGGAAGCCUGAUGCAGAAACGCCGCGUGCGGGAUGACGGCCUUCGGGUGGUAAACAGCUUUCGCCUGUGACGAAGAGUGAGUGACGGUAAUGGGUAAAGAAGCACCGGCUAACUACGUG
Molecule: ribosomal RNA, 468 nt
Filed under: uncultured bacterium
Lineage: Bacteria
Description: partial 16S ribosomal RNA
Rfam family: Bacterial small subunit ribosomal RNA
Source: RNAcentral